This 336-nucleotide unclassified non-coding RNA is filed under the name soil metagenome. RNAcentral describes it as "partial contains 5.8S ribosomal RNA, internal transcribed spacer 2, and large subunit ribosomal RNA". The stretch from base 1 to 119 matches the Rfam family "5.8S ribosomal RNA", at positions 35 to 154 of the family's 154-position model. The record is from RNAcentral.
GAUGAAGAACGUAGUGAAAUGCGAUACGUAAUGUGAAUUGCAAAUUCAGUGAAUCAUCGAAUCUUUGAACGCACAUUGCGCCCCUUGGUAUUCCAUGGGGCAUGCCUGUUCGAGCGUCAUUUGUACCUUCAAGCUCUGCUUGGUGUUGGGUGUUUGUCUCGCCUCUGCGUGUAGACUCGCCUCAAAACAAUUGGCAGCCGGCGUAUUGAUUUCGGAGCGCAGUACAUCUCGCGCUUUGCACUCAUAACGACGACGUCCAAAAGUACAUUUUUACACUCUUGACCUCGGAUCAGGUAGGGAUACCCGCUGAACUUAAGCAUAUCAAUAAGCGGAGGA